CUUCGGGCUUUGAGACCGGCGCACGGGUGCGUAACGCGUAUGCAAUCUGCCUUUCACAGAGGGAUAGCCCAGAGAAAUUUGGAUUAAUACCUCAUAGCAUUAUAAGAUGGCAUCAUUUUAUAAUUAAAGUCACAACGGUGAAAGAUGAGCAUGCGUCCCAUUAGCUAGUUGGUAAGGUAACGGCUUACCAAGGCAACGAUGGGUAGGGGUCCUGAGAGGGAGAUCCCCCACACUGGUACUGAGACACGGACCAGACUCCUACGGGAGGCAGCAGUGAGGAAUAUUGGUCAAUGGACGCAAGUCUGAACCAGCCAUGCCGCGUGCAGGAUGACGGUCCUAUGGAUUGUAAACUGCUUUUGCACAGGAAGAAACACUCCGACGUGUCGGAGCUUGACGGUACUGUGAGAAUAAGGAUCGGCUAACUCCGUGCCAGCAGCCGCGGUAAUACGGAGGAUCCAAGCGUUAUCCGGAAUCAUUGGGUUUAAAGGGUCCGUAGGCGGUCUUGUAAGUCAGUGGUGAAAGCCCAUCGCUCAACGGUGGA
RNAcentral lists this ribosomal RNA (541 nucleotides) under Flavobacterium sp. RNAcentral's name for it is "bacterial SSU rRNA". It matches the Rfam family "Bacterial small subunit ribosomal RNA", at positions 78 to 619 of the family's 1533-position model. Lineage: Bacteria; Pseudomonadati; Bacteroidota; Flavobacteriia; Flavobacteriales; Flavobacteriaceae. The record is from RNAcentral.